This 1218-nucleotide long non-coding RNA is filed under the name Sorghum bicolor (sorghum). Its description in RNAcentral is "long non-coding RNA (SBIC_LNC000754)". Lineage: Eukaryota; Viridiplantae; Streptophyta; Magnoliopsida; Poales; Poaceae. The record is from RNAcentral.
UCCAAAACGAAGUUUGUUCCUCUCGAUCUAAGGACUUUUUCUGAGCUGCCUAGUGCUAGGUUUACCAAGUGUGCACCACACCUAAACCUAAAGCCUUGCCUAGGUCAAGCUACCCAUUUAAUGCCCCUCUUAAUAGUACGGUCAAAGGAAAACAAAGUUCUAAACUACUCUAAGUGCCCUUCUUCACCAUAUGGCACUUAGACCUAGUCUAGUCCCGACGAUGUCCAACCAUCCUUUGAAAACUGAAAUGAUUUCCACCAUUAAGUAGGCAUGAACCUUCUAGUCCAUUGAUCAACAUUACCAUGACCUAACACUAAUGACUUUGCCUCUGCAAAACACAUGUUAGUCAUAGUAAUCAACAUUGUCAUUAAUCACCGAAACUCAAUAGGGGCCUAGAUGCUUUUCAAUAUCGUUAUAUUCAUAGAUUGUAUAUGAAGUUCAAUUAGCACUACUAUAAAAAAAAUUAACACAAGCGGGCCUUUCGAAUUUUAGAAGACGGACAAAGAAAACGUCUCCAUUCAAAGGUCGUUGUAAACCAAGCAUUAACCGAGGCGGUUUCCAUGCCCGCCCUGGUCAAUAGAAAAAGAAAAAUAAAAGAAAAAUCCAUGGACAGGCCCGUGAGCCAAUUCAUGGCCCAACAGGUCCAUCCACACGCCGCCGCCUCCGCCGUCAGUAGAUGCGGUCACGCCCGGUCUUCAUUUGUUGUUGGGGGGCUGCCACUACCAGAUCCACGACUGGGAAGGUGGAUCAGUACGACCAGAACUGGAUCCGCCACCGGGAAGGUGGAUCCACGCGGCGGGAGCUGGAUCCGUGCCGUUACAGGUCGCACCAUCGUCGUCGCAAGCUCGACCCACUGUGCCGCCGGAAGAGGAGAUGAGGCUGGGCCACCGUGACUCUACCCACUAUGUCGUGACACCCGUGAGGCCAAGACGCCUCACGUCCACACCAUCACGCUGCGCGUCCACACCGCUACGCACGUGCCUCCGUGCCCAUGAGGCCGCGCCGCGCCUCCGCACCACCGCGCGCGUGCCUCCCUAACUGGUUGGCCGCCUUCGCUUCGUGCCUAUUGUAGUGAGGGAGAAAGGGAGAAGAGUGAGAGAGGGAGGGAGAGGAUUGGGAGGGAGGCCGACAUCAAUUUCUGAGUGAGAGAAGAAAGGGAAUGCGGUGGGUGCGGCUGGUGAGGGAGUGAGUGCUAGGGUUUGGCAUAUAUAUACUGCA